Molecule: small RNA, 68 nt
Filed under: Nocardia cyriacigeorgica GUH-2
Lineage: Bacteria; Bacillati; Actinomycetota; Actinomycetes; Mycobacteriales; Nocardiaceae
Description: ASdes TB sRNA
Rfam family: ASdes TB sRNA
Source: Rfam by way of RNAcentral
AGCGCGACGGGAUCGACCGCGCGGGUGCAGAUCAGGUAGUCGCGCAUGGCGAUCGCGUGCCGGUUCUC